GACGAACGCUGGCGGCGUGCUUAACACAUGCAAGUCGAGCGGUAAGGCCUUUCGGGGUACACGAGCGGCGAACGGGUGAGUAACACGUGGGUGAUCUGCCCUGCACUUCGGGAUAAGCCUGGGAAACUGGGUCUAAUACCGGAUAUGACCUCCUAUCGCAUGGUGGGUGGUGGAAAGAUUUAUCGGUGCAGGAUGGGCCCGCGGCCUAUCAGCUUGUUGGUGGGGUAAUGGCCUACCAAGGCGACGACGGGUAGCCGACCUGAGAGGGUGACCGGCCACAAGGGGACUGAGGCACGGCCCAGACUCCUACGGGAGGCAGCAGGGGGGAAUAUUGCACAAUGGGCGAAAGCCUGAUGCAGCGACGCCGCGUGAGGGAUGACGGCCUUCGGGUUGUAAACCUCUUUCAGCAGGGACGAAGCGCAAGUGACGGUACCUGCAGAAGAAGCACCGGCUAACUACGUG
RNAcentral lists this ribosomal RNA (462 nucleotides) under uncultured bacterium. RNAcentral describes it as "partial 16S ribosomal RNA". It matches the Rfam family "Bacterial small subunit ribosomal RNA", at positions 28 to 507 of the family's 1533-position model. The record is from RNAcentral.